Molecule: unclassified non-coding RNA, 230 nt
Filed under: air metagenome
Description: partial contains small subunit ribosomal RNA, internal transcribed spacer 1, and 5.8S ribosomal RNA
Rfam family: Eukaryotic small subunit ribosomal RNA (bases 1-46)
Source: RNAcentral
AAGUCGUAACAAGGUUUCCGUAGGUGAACCUGCGGAAGGAUCAUUAUUGAAUCCAAAGGAUGUUGCUGGCGUUGCGAAGCGCAUGUGCACUCCACCCUUCAAAUCCACCUGUGCACUUCUUGUAGGCUUUAAUGCCUAUGUCUUUAUACACUAUGAAGUUUAUAGAAUGUGUUGAAGCCUUUGACGGCUGAAAUAUAAUACAACUUUCAACAACGGAUCUCUUGGUUCUC